UCCUGACACAGGGAGGUAGUGACAAGAAAUAACAAUACAGGGCUCUUUCGAGUCUUGUAAUUGGAAUGAGUACAAUUUACAUCUCUUCACGAGGAUCAAUUGGAGGGCAAGUCUGGUGCCAGCAGCCGCGGUAAUUCCAGCUCCAAUAGCGUAUAUUAAAGUUGUUGCAGUUAAAACGCUCGUAGUCGGAUUUCGGGGCAGGUUUGCCGGUCUGCCGAUGGGUAUGCACUGGUNGAANNGUCCUUCCUUCCGGAGACGGCGCCUACUCUUAACUGAGCGGGUGUCGGAGACGGAUCGUUUACUUUGAAAAAAUCAGAGUGUUUCAAGCAGGCAGCUCGCUUUUGCAUGGAUUAGCAUGGGAUAAUGAAAUAGGACUUUGGUGCUAUUUUGUUGGUUUCGAACACCGAAGUAAUGAUUAACAGGGACA
Molecule: ribosomal RNA, 427 nt
Filed under: uncultured eukaryote
Lineage: Eukaryota
Description: SSU rRNA
Rfam family: Eukaryotic small subunit ribosomal RNA
Source: RNAcentral